CUGACUUCCUUCUCCAGGGUAUCUCCUCCUACAAGGCUCUGCUAAGGAACCACUCUGUGUUUUCUGGAUGCCUUCUUGAGUUUGCUGGUAGCCACCCACAGACAUUUAGAAGGAGGAGAGAAGUCCACCUGGCAGAGACACUCUGAAAUGAGGGAUUAGAGACCGGGAUCCGAGGAGCAAGAACUACAGCUGGAAGACAAGGGAGCAGGCCCUGAAAACACUACUACUCAGAGAUCCACCAUGGCCUCUCUUGGCCUCCAACUUGUGGGCUACAUCCUAGGCCUCCUGGGGCUACUGGGCACGAUGACUGCCAUGCUUCUCCCCAACUGGCGAACAAGUUCUUACGUUGGUGCCAGCAUUGUGACAGCAGUCGGUUUCUCCAAGGGCCUCUGGAUGGAGUGCGCCACACAAAGCACCGGCAUCACCCAGUGUGACAUCUACAGCACCCUGCUAGGCUUGCCUGCUGAUAUCCAGGCUGCUCAGGCCAUGAUGGUCACUUCCACUGCCUUCUCCUCCCUGGCUUGUAUUAUUUCUGUGGUGGGCAUGAGAUGCACGAUCUUCUGCCAGGAAUCUCGAGCCAAAGAUAGAGUGGUGAUAGCAGGUGGAAUCUUCUUCAUCCUUGGAGGUCUCCUGAGCUUCAUCCCUGUAGUCUGGAAUCUUCACGGCAUCCUACGGGACUUCUACUCACCACUGGUGCCUGACAGCAUGAAAUUUGAGAUCGGAGAGGCUCUUUACUUGGGCGUGAUUUCCUCUCUCUUCUCCAUGGUAGCUGGAAUCAUCCUCUGUUUUACUUGCUCAUCCCAGAGAAAUCGUUCCAACUAUGAUGCUUACCAGGCCCAGCCCCUCGCCACCAGGAGCUCUCCAAGACCUGGCCAAGCUCCGAAAGCGAAGAGUGAGUUCAAUUCCUACAGCCUCACAGGGUAUGUGUGAAGCAUCAGAGGCCAGAGUUGGGGGGAUGGCUGGGUCUGUGCAAACCAGUGGUCGAUCCCCCAUCCCUAUCCCCAGGGCUACAAGAUGAGGGACACUGCCACUGGAUCAUGUCAGAAGGUGCUGCUGAGGAUAGAAUGACUCUGGCCAUUGGAUCAAGUGAAGGCACAAGUGAGAGCUGGCAAGACAGUAUGAGGGUUCAAUGGGCAAGCCAGCCUUUCUAUUUCUCUCACUUUGUGCCCCUACCCUGAGUUUUCAGCCCUCAACUCCAAGCUCCCAACCACUACCUUUGGCCAGGUCUCAGAGGCUCCCAUAGUUUGCGGUUUGCCUGGGAAUCAUUCCAAAACCCCAGUAAUCAUUUCCCACUGACUGCAUCUUCUCUGUGAUCAAAGACCUUUCCCUGUGGCUAAGGAUGGCUCUGAGUUCAUUACUGGGGAACAGAAGGAAAAAGGAAUGGUGACAAUUCUGGACAUGGCUCUAGCCUCCUUCUCAAGUGUCCCUCCAAAGAAACUGGUCAGUACCCAGGCCCUGAGCCUCCAUUCCACUACUCUUGUUAUAACUUCAAAGUGCCCAGCCUGGAUUGUACCUGAACCGAAAUAAAGCCAUCCCACAGCGUCCACGAAAUAGUGGGUGCGUGAUGAGAAGAAGGAAAGGCAGCUUGGGACUAAAAUAAGAUAAGAACCACUUCCUAGGGCAUUUCCCCCAGCUUCCCCCUGCACUCCAGCUCAUGGUUCAGGAAUUGCACCUGCAGCUAGAGCAAAGCACAAGGAAAGACCAUCUGGUGAGAAGCUCAAGACAGCAGCAGACCAGACUGUGCCUCCUCCUCCGAGCUGCUUUCCAAACUGCAGCUCCAAAUUUCACGGAAGCCUCUACCUCUCUGUGUGACACCUGACUUGGCUUCUUGUCUAAGCUACAAGGCUAAGGGCCCCACACAAUGAUUUUUCUAGGGACUGUAAAGCAUAUUUUAGUAUAUGUGCUGCUAAAGUGAACACUGUGGAGAUUUUAUACACAUGGUUCUUGGCAGGGUUGGGGUGCGGCCGUGUGGAGAUUGUGGGGGACUGAUGAAGAGAUCUUCCAUUCUGGCUAAGGAAAAAUAACAUUGGUAUGUAAUAAUUCUGGAUAGGCAUGUUUGUUGGCUCUAAUGGGGGGUUUCUACUUAUGCCAGAGAGAUGUGGUAACCCAGAGAGUUGCCAAGUCUAAUGGCAAAUCAGCUGCAAAGGCUGUCAUCACCCCCCAUCUCAGGGUCUAUCCACAGAGCUUCUCAAAGACCACAGCAUCAGGCAAAUCCUUUGCCACCUUCACGUCCUUCCCCCCACUCCAUAAAUCAGAAGUUAUUCCAGGCCCGCUAGAGGGUAUUUGAGGCACUAACAUCAAACAUCCAUGUCCAAGGUGCUAUGUCCAUAAUGCGAGUGAUGACUGAGCUGCUGCCCGGGACUGUAGCUUAGGUAGGAGGGUAGAGAACGGUUCCCAGGCAGACAGUUUCUCUUCCAAAGUCUGCAAAUGCUCCAUGUCCCCCAGAGAGGAAGUGGAGUGCUCAUUAACCAAACACAUUUUCACUUAACCAGCCCAAGUAUCGUCAACUUCUGACAAAAUCCCUAAUACAGCUCUCCAAAUCUGCACACCACGGCAAGAGGUGCAUUCGAGGUCUCCAGCAGGCCUUUCAUGUUUCUACCUUCUGUCCUGCCAACCUGGAAGACUCCCUUCCCUUAGCCAAGUCCUCUUCAAGUUUGGAGAGCUUGCCCAACACUUCUUCAUUGAGCCUUCUCUGACCACUCCAUCCCUCGCCUACCCCUCCUUCCUUUAACCCUCAGCAUAUAAAUUGCUUCUUGAUGCUUAUCACUCCAAAUUUUUUGUUUGAUAGUUAUGUUCUUGCAUGCAUGUCUGAUCUCACAAGUAUAUUGUAAACUGUCAGAGGGCGUGGGUACAUCUCAGACCUCUCUGUAUCUACCUAUUUGUAACACUGUUGAGCACACAGUAGGCGAUCAAUAAACAUGUUGAUUGA
Molecule: RNA transcript, 2929 nt
Organism: Ochotona princeps (American pika)
Lineage: Eukaryota; Metazoa; Chordata; Mammalia; Lagomorpha; Ochotonidae
Gene: CLDN2
Gene name: claudin 2
Exons: 3
Source: RefSeq, a predicted model, not a curated record